This 490-nucleotide ribosomal RNA is filed under the name uncultured bacterium. RNAcentral's name for it is "partial 16S ribosomal RNA". It matches the Rfam family "Bacterial small subunit ribosomal RNA", at positions 28 to 507 of the family's 1533-position model. The record is from RNAcentral.
GAUGAACGCUAGCUACAGGCUUAACACAUGCAAGUCGAGGGGAAACGCUGAGAGAGCUUGCUCUCUUAGGCGUCGACCGGCGCACGGGUGACUAACGCAUAUCCAACCUACCCCUGACAGAGGUAUAACCUUGCGAGAGUAAGACUAAUACCCCAUGGCAUUUUAUGGUGGCAUCAUUAUAGGAUUAAAGAUUUAUGGGUAAUGGAUUGGGAUGCGUCUGAUUAGCUUGUUGGCGGGGUAACGGCGCACCAAGGAAACGAUCAGUAGGGGUUGUGAGAGGAAGGUCCCCCACAGUGGGACCGAGACACGGGCCAAAAUCCUACGGGAGGCAGCAGUGAGGAAUACUGGUCAAGGGGAGAGAGCUUGAUCCAGCCAAGUAGCGUGCAGGAUGACCGCGCUAGGGGUUGUAAACUGCUUUUAUAGGGGAAUAUAGUGAGCUACGGGUAGUUUAUUGCAGGUACCCUAUGAAUAAGGACCGGCUAAUUCCGUG